Molecule: ribosomal RNA, 495 nt
Filed under: uncultured bacterium
Lineage: Bacteria
Description: partial 16S ribosomal RNA
Rfam family: Bacterial small subunit ribosomal RNA
Source: RNAcentral
GACGAACGCUGGCGGCGUGCCUAAUACAUGCAAGUAGAACGCUGAAGGAGGAGCUUGCUUCUCUGGAUGAGUUGCGAACGGGUGAGUAACGCGUAGGUAACCUGCCUGGUAGCGGGGGAUAACUAUUGGAAACGAUAGCUAAUACCGCAUAAUAGUAGAUGUUGCAUGACAUUUGCUUAAAAGGUGCAAUUGCAUCACUACCAGAUGGACCUGCGUUGUAUUAGCUAGUUGGUGGGGUAACGGCUCACCAAGGCGACGAUACAUAGCCGACCUGAGAGGGUGAUCGGCCACACUGGGACUGAGAUACGGCCCAGACUCCUACGGGAGGCAGCAGUAGGGAAUCUUCGGCAAUGGACGGAAGUCUGACCGAGCAACGCCGCGUGAGUGAAGAAGGUUUUCGGAUCGUAAAGCUCUGUUGUAAGAGAAGAACGAGUGUGAGAGUGGAAAGUUCACACUGUGACGGUAUCUUACCAGAAAGGGACGGCUAACUACGUG